AGCUCCGCAAGCGUAUAUUAAAAUUGUUGCAGUUAAAAAGCUCGUAGUUGGACUUUUGGUCUAGAACUCUCCCAGCUCGGAGAUUACCCAGCGGCGCACUUUGUGUAAAGCUGAUGAUCAGGAAAGCAGGAUGCGGGGUCGACCAUUUCCUUUGUAGCGAUUUACUGCUUUGGCGAUAUUAUUUCGUCAUUGCAUAGCGAAGAGGUAUUACUUUGAAGAAAGAGGAGUGUUUAAAGCAGACGAACGUAGUGAACUUAUUAGCAUGGAAUGAUAACAUAGGACCUUUGGAUUAUUUGAUUGGUUUUGAAUCUGAAGGUAAUGAUUGAUACGGGUAAUUGGGGGUGCUAGUACUUUUUGGCCAGAGGUGAAAUUCUGUAACCCGAUGAAGACUGACUACUGCGAAAGCAUUCACCAAGGAUAUUUUGU
This 426-nucleotide ribosomal RNA is filed under the name uncultured eukaryote. Its description in RNAcentral is "SSU rRNA". It matches the Rfam family "Eukaryotic small subunit ribosomal RNA", at positions 587 to 972 of the family's 1831-position model. The record is from RNAcentral.